Molecule: ribosomal RNA, 1692 nt
Filed under: metagenome
Description: bacterial SSU rRNA
Rfam family: Eukaryotic small subunit ribosomal RNA
Source: RNAcentral
UUCGAGUUGGUGCUCGUUCGGACGACGUUCUGCCCUAUCAGCUUCGAUGGUUGUGUAGUGGACAACCAUGGCUGUAACAGGUAACGGAGAAUCAGGGUUCGAUUCCGGAGAGGGAGCCUGAGAAACGGCUACCACGAUUAAGAUCGGCAGCAGGCGCGCAAAUUGCCCAAUACCAAUACCGGUGAGGCAGCGACGAAAAAUAACAACUCUGCAUGACAAAUGUUGUGUGGAGAUUGUAAUGGAUGAUACCCAAACCCAUCAGUGAGCAUCCGUUGGAGGGCAAGUCUGGUGCCAGCAGCCGCGGUAAUUCCAGCUCCAAUAGCGUAUACUAAUGUUGCUGCUGUUAAAACGCUCGUAGUUGGACUCAGAGAUGGAGGUUGCAGUGAGGCCCUCUGCGGCUGGAGCUGUUGCGCCCCCGGGUGUGACGAUCCAACCGCAUUGCGGAACAAACCCACUGCGUUCGACCUUCACUCUUCACACGCGGAACCAUUGGGGCUGUGGAAACCUCCUUGAUUGGUGGUAGAAGCGCUUCCGCAUUCAACACAUGCAUAUGCCCCUGUCCGUGGAGGUUACUGUGAACAAAACAGCGUGUCCAAAGCAACCACAUGUCUGGCUGAAUGAUCUAGCAUGGAAUAACAAGGCAUCGACCACUGGAGUCAGCCUUUUUGUUGGUUUUACAUGACCCAGUUGGGCAAUGCAGGGCUUGUGCUUCAUUGAGGUUCUUAGUCAGCUCUACCGAACUGUCUUCCCUCAGUUGGACCUUGUUCCCUAUCGGGAUCAAUGGAAGCCAUCGGGGUGGUAUGUAUUCCGACGUGAGCGGUGAAAUGCUUAGACCGUUGGAAGACAAACGACAGCGAAGGCAUUCCGCCAGAAUGUUUACAUUAAUCAAGAACGAGAGUGUGGGGAUCGAAGAUGAUCAGAUACCAUCGUAGUCCAUUACCGUAAACUAUGCCAACUCGGCAUUGGGAGUCUGUUCACUUUGAAGACUCUCCCAGCAUCAUCCCCCAAUAACGAGAAAUCCAAGUCUAUGGGUUCAGGGGGGAGUACAGUCGCAAGGCUGAAACUUAAAGGAAUUGACGGAAUGACACCACAAGGCGUGGAGUAUGCGGCUUAAUUUGACCCAACACGGGGAAGCUUACCAGGUCAGACAUAGUAAGGAUUGACAGAUUGAGAGCUCUUUCUUGAUCCUAUGGAUGGUGGUGCAUGGCCGUUUCUGGUUCGUGGAGUGAUCUGUCUGCUUAAUUGCGAUAACGAACGAGAUCUCUACCUCUAAAUAGGCGCCGGUCUCGCAUGUAAGUAGGGAUGUGUUGGGGGCCUUCGUGUCCCCUCAUGUCCUGAGAGUGCCAGGAUCGCUUCUUAGACGGACUGUGCAUGUCUUUAAUGCACGGAAGAGGGAGUCAAUAGCAGGUCUGUGAUGCUCCUAGAUGUUCUGGGCUGCACGCGCACUACACUGGCACAGUAAACGAGUUGCACCUGCUUCGGCAGUCCUGCUUAGAAGUGAGCGUGGGAAAUCUUAGAAAACUGUGCCGUGCUGGGGAUAGAUGAUUGCGAUUAUUUGUCUUGAACGAGGAAUGCCUAGUAGAGGUACUUCAUCAGAGUACCUUGAUUGUGUCCCUGCCAUUUGUACACACCGCCCGUCGUUGCUACCGAUUGGCUGUAAAAUAGAGGCCUUAAGAGUCGCUUCCGCAAAGC